GACGAACGCUGGCGGCGUGCUUAACACAUGCAAGUCGAACGGAAAGGCCCUGCUUUUGUGGGGUGCUCGAGUGGCGAACGGGUGAGUAACACGUGAGUAACCUGCCCUUGACUUUGGGAUAACUUCAGGAAACUGGGGCUAAUACCGGAUAGGAGCUCCUGCUGCAUGGUGGGGGUUGGAAAGUUUCGGCGGUUGGGGAUGGACUCGCGGCUUAUCAGCUUGUUGGUGGGGUAGUGGCUUACCAAGGCUUUGACGGGUAGCCGGCCUGAGAGGGUGACCGGCCACAUUGGGACUGAGAUACGGCCCAGACUCCUACGGGAGGCAGCAGUGGGGAAUAUUGCACAAUGGGCGGAAGCCUGAUGCAGCAACGCCGCGUGCGGGACGACGGCCUUCGGGUUGUAAACCGCUUUCGCCUGUGACGAAGCGUGAGUGACGGUAAUGGGUAAAGAAGCACCGGCUAACUACGUGCCAGCAGCCGCGGUGAUACGUAGGGUGCGAGCGUUGUCCGGAUUUAUUGGGCGUAAAGGGCUCGUAGGUGGUUGAUCGCGUCGGAAGUGUAAUCUUGGGGCUUAACCCUGAGCGUGCUUUCGAUACGGGUUGACUUGAGGAAAGGUAGGGGAGAAAUGGAAUUCCUGGUGGAGCGGUGGAAUGCGCAGAUAUCAGGAGGAACACCAGUGGCGAAGGCGGUUCUCUGGGCCUUUCCUGACGCUGAGGAGCGAAAGCGUGGGGAGCGAACAGGCUUAGAUACCCUGGUAGUCCACGCUGUAAACGGUGGGUACUAGGUGUGGGGUCCAUUCCACGGGUUCCGUGCCGUAGCUAACGCUUUAAGUACCCCGCCUGGGGAGUACGGCCGCAAGGCUAAAACUCAAAGGAAUUGACGGGGCCCCGCACAAGCGGCGGAGCAUGCGGAUUAAUUCGAUGCAACGCGUAGAACCUUACCUGGGUUUGACAUGGAUCGGGAGCGCUCAGAGAUGGGUGUGCCUCUUUUGGGGUCGGUUCACAGGUGGUGCAUGGCUGUCGUCAGCUCGUGUCGUGAGAUGUUGGGUUAAGUCCCGCAACGAGCGCAACCCUUGUUCACUGUUGCCAGCACGUUAUGGUGGGGACUCAGUGGAGACCGCCGGGGUCAACUCGGAGGAAGGUGGGGAUGACGUCAAGUCAUCAUGCCCCUUAUGUCCAGGGCUUCACGCAUGCUACAAUGGCUGGUACAGAGAGUGGCGAGCCUGUGAGGGUGAACGAAUCUCGGAAAGCCGGUCUCAGCUCGGAUUGGGGUCUGCAACUCGACCUCAUGAAGUCGGAGUCGCUAGUAAUCGCAGAUCAGCAACGCUGCGGUGAAUACGUUCCCGGGGCU
RNAcentral lists this ribosomal RNA (1348 nucleotides) under uncultured bacterium. Its description in RNAcentral is "bacterial SSU rRNA". It matches the Rfam family "Bacterial small subunit ribosomal RNA", at positions 28 to 1381 of the family's 1533-position model. The record is from RNAcentral.